Molecule: long non-coding RNA, 236 nt
Filed under: Gossypium barbadense (sea-island cotton)
Lineage: Eukaryota; Viridiplantae; Streptophyta; Magnoliopsida; Malvales; Malvaceae
Description: long non-coding RNA (GBAR_LNC014865)
Source: RNAcentral
GUGAUUGUGGGAGCCAUCUUCAACCUUCUUCUUGCCAUUGAUAUUCUUUGGAGGGGAGAUUAGAGCCGUUUGAAGGGAGUUGUGAGAUCUUUCGAGAUUUCAAGGCUUCUUAGGACUUAUCUUUUAAUUUCUUACUGUCAAUUCUUUCUUUAUUUCUACUUGUGCUGAAUCAUUAUCUAAUCUAUUUUCUGUUCUUAUUGUGUUUUCAGCCUUUUUCUAUCUUAAGGAAUCAGCCG